GACGAACGCUGGCGGCGUGCCUAACACAUGCAAGUCUACGAGAAUUGGGUAGCAAUAUCCAUAGUAAAGUGGCGCAAGGGUGAGUAAUAUGUAAGUAACCUGCCCAUAGGUUUGGAAUAACGUCGAGAAAUCGACGCUAAUACCGUAUAAUGCAGCGGCAUCGCAUGAUGAUGUUGUUAAAGUUUUUACGCCUAUGGAUGGGCUUGCAGCCGAUUAGCUAGUUGGUAAGGUAACUGCUUACCAAGGCUACGAUCGGUAGCUGGUCUGAGAGGAUGAUCAGCCACACUGGAACUGAGACACGGUCCAGACUCCUACGGGUGGCAG
Molecule: ribosomal RNA, 324 nt
Filed under: uncultured Chlorobiota bacterium
Lineage: Bacteria; Pseudomonadati; Chlorobiota
Description: bacterial SSU rRNA
Rfam family: Bacterial small subunit ribosomal RNA
Source: RNAcentral